UACCCUUGACAUGUACGGAAGUUUGUUGAGAGGUGGAUGUCCC
RNAcentral lists this ribosomal RNA (43 nucleotides) under uncultured organism. RNAcentral describes it as "partial 16S ribosomal RNA". The record is from RNAcentral.